CCCUUAGAUGUUCUGGGCUGCACGCGUGCUACAAUGGCGCUUGCAACAAGUCUUGCCAACCCGAUAGGGUGAGCGGAACUUUGAAGAGGCGUCGUGAUCGGGACAGUUGAUUGCAAUUAUUCGACUCGAACGAGGAAUUCCUUGUAAUCGCGAUUCAUCAUAUCGCGCUGAAUACGUCCCUGCCCUUUGUACACACCGCCCGUCGCUCCUACCGAUUGAGCGAUCCGGUGAAUGUUUUGGACUGGCGUCAGAAGCGGUUCGCUCCUGACACUACGAAACUUUGUAAACCUUAUCGCUUAGAGGAAGGAAAAGUCGUAACA
This 320-nucleotide ribosomal RNA is filed under the name uncultured eukaryote. Its description in RNAcentral is "partial 18S ribosomal RNA". It matches the Rfam family "Eukaryotic small subunit ribosomal RNA", at positions 1470 to 1796 of the family's 1831-position model. The record is from RNAcentral.